RNAcentral lists this non-coding RNA (95 nucleotides) under uncultured Veillonella sp. RNAcentral's name for it is "SAM riboswitch (S box leader)". It matches the Rfam family "SAM riboswitch aptamer (S box leader)". From Rfam's summary of the family: The SAM riboswitch is found upstream of a number of genes which code for proteins involved in methionine or cysteine biosynthesis in Gram-positive bacteria. The SAM riboswitch acts at the level of transcription termination control. The record is from RNAcentral. Lineage: Bacteria; Bacillati; Bacillota; Negativicutes; Veillonellales; Veillonellaceae.
UCUCAUCAAGAGUAGCGGAGGGAAAGGCCCUGUGAAGCUACAGCAACCAUUCAAUUUUGAAAAGGUGCUAAAUCCGACGGCAAAGCCGAAAGAUG